UACGGAGGGGGCUAGCGUUGUUCGGAAUUAUUGGGCGUAAAGGGCGCGUAGGCGGUCAAGCAAGUUGGAGGUGAAAUCCCUCGGCUCAACCGGGGAACUGCCCCCAAUACUGCUUGACUUGAGUCCCGGAGAGGGUAGCGGAAUUCCCAGUGUAGCGGUGAAAUGCGUAGAUAUUGGGAGGAACAUCAGUGGCGAAGGCGGCUACCUGGACGGGUACUGACGCUGAGGCGCGAAAGCGUGGGGAGCAAACAGG
This 253-nucleotide ribosomal RNA is filed under the name uncultured bacterium. RNAcentral's name for it is "partial 16S ribosomal RNA". It matches the Rfam family "Bacterial small subunit ribosomal RNA", at positions 524 to 776 of the family's 1533-position model. The record is from RNAcentral.